RNAcentral lists this transfer RNA (72 nucleotides) under Urocitellus parryii (Arctic ground squirrel). RNAcentral describes it as "Spermophilus parryii (Arctic ground squirrel) tRNA". It matches the Rfam family "tRNA". From Rfam's summary of the family: Transfer RNA (tRNA) molecules are approximately 80 nucleotides in length. Their secondary structure includes four short double-helical elements and three loops (D, anti-codon, and T loops). Further hydrogen bonds mediate the characteristic L-shaped molecular structure. tRNAs have two regions of fundamental functional importance: the anti-codon, which is responsible for specific mRNA codon recognition, and the 3' end, to which the tRNAs corresponding amino acid is attached (by aminoacyl-tRNA synthetases). tRNAs cope with the degeneracy of the genetic code in two manners: having more than one tRNA (with a specific anti-codon) for a particular amino acid; and 'wobble' base-pairing, i.e. permitting non-standard base-pairing at the 3rd anti-codon position. The record is from Rfam by way of RNAcentral. Lineage: Eukaryota; Metazoa; Chordata; Mammalia; Rodentia; Sciuridae. RNAcentral also lists the same sequence under 2 other names.
GGGGAUGUAACUCAGUAGUAGAGUGAUUGCUUAGCAUGCCUGAGUCCCUGGGUUUAAUACCCAGCACCCCCA